RNAcentral lists this ribosomal RNA (253 nucleotides) under uncultured bacterium. RNAcentral's name for it is "partial 16S ribosomal RNA". It matches the Rfam family "Bacterial small subunit ribosomal RNA", at positions 524 to 776 of the family's 1533-position model. The record is from RNAcentral.
UACGGAGGGUGCAAGCGUUAUCCGGAUUCACUGGGUUUAAAGGGUGCGUAGGUGGGUCUGAAAGUCAGUGGUGAAAUCUCCGUGCUUAACAUGGAAACUGCCAUUGAUACUCUGGAUCUUGAAUUUUCUGGAGGUUAGCGGAAUAUGUCAUGUAGCGGUGAAAUGCUUAGAUAUGACAUAGAACACCAAUUGCGAAGGCAGCUAAUUACGGGAGUAUUGACACUGAGGCACGAAAGCGUGGGGAUCAAACAGG